RNAcentral lists this ribosomal RNA (492 nucleotides) under uncultured bacterium. RNAcentral's name for it is "partial 16S ribosomal RNA". It matches the Rfam family "Bacterial small subunit ribosomal RNA", at positions 29 to 507 of the family's 1533-position model. The record is from RNAcentral.
AGUGAACGCUGGCGGUAGGCCUAACACAUGCAAGUCGAACGGCAGCACAGUAAGAGCUUGCUCUUACGGGUGGCGAGUGGCGGACGGGUGAGGAAUACAUCGGAAUCUACUUUUUCGUGGGGGAUAACGUAGGGAAACUUACGCUAAUACCGCAUACGACCUACGGGUGAAAGCAGGGGAUCUUCGCACCUUGCGCGAUUGAAUGAGCCGAUGUCGGAUUAGCUAGUUGGCGGGGUAAAGGCCAACCAAGGCGACGAUCCGUAGCUGGUCUGAGGGGAUGAUCAGCCACACUGGAACUGAGACACGGUCCAGACUCCUACGGGAGGCAGCAGUGGGGAAUAUUGGACAAUGGGCGCAAGCCUGAUCCAGCCAUACCGCGUGGGUGAAGAAGGCCUUCGGGUUGUAAAGCCCUUUUGUUGGGAGAGAAAAGCAGCAGGUUAAUACCCCGCUGUUCUGACGGUACCCAAAGAAUAAGCACCGGCUAACUUCGUG